Molecule: ribosomal RNA, 254 nt
Filed under: uncultured bacterium
Lineage: Bacteria
Description: partial 16S ribosomal RNA
Rfam family: Archaeal small subunit ribosomal RNA
Source: RNAcentral
UACCGGCAGCUCAAGUGGUAUCUGUUUUUAUUGGGCCUAAAGCGUUCGUAGCCGGUUUAAUAAGUCUUUGGUGAAAGCUUGUAGCUUAACUAUAAGAAUUGCUGGAGAUACUAUUAGACUUGAAGUCGGGAGAGGUUAGAGGUACUACCGGGGUAGGGGUGAAAUCCUAUAAUCCUGGGAGGACCACCUGUGGCGAAGGCGUCUAACUAGAACGAUCUUGACGGUGAGUAACGAAAGCCAGGGGCGCGAACCGG